This 594-nucleotide ribosomal RNA is filed under the name Trichoderma asperellum. RNAcentral's name for it is "eukaryotic LSU rRNA". The stretch from base 211 to 364 matches the Rfam family "5.8S ribosomal RNA". Lineage: Eukaryota; Fungi; Ascomycota; Sordariomycetes; Hypocreales; Hypocreaceae. The record is from RNAcentral.
UAUGAUUGCUGACGCGUAGGGACAUUACCGAGUUUACAACUCCCAAACCCAAUGUGAACGUUACCAAACUGUUGCCUCGGCGGGGUCACGCCCCGGGUGCGUCGCAGCCCCGGAACCAGGCGCCCGCCGGAGGAACCAACCAAACUCUUUCUGUAGUCCCCUCGCGGACGUAUUUCUUACAGCUCUGAGCAAAAAUUCAAAAUGAAUCAAAACUUUCAACAACGGAUCUCUUGGUUCUGGCAUCGAUGAAGAACGCAGCGAAAUGCGAUAAGUAAUGUGAAUUGCAGAAUUCAGUGAAUCAUCGAAUCUUUGAACGCACAUUGCGCCCGCCAGUAUUCUGGCGGGCAUGCCUGUCCGAGCGUCAUUUCAACCCUCGAACCCCUCCGGGGGAUCGGCGUUGGGGAUCGGGACCCCUCACACGGGUGCCGGCCCCGAAAUACAGUGGCGGUCUCGCCGCAGCCUCUCCUGCGCAGUAGUUUGCACAACUCGCACCGGGAGCGCGGCGCGUCCACGUCCGUAAAACACCCAACUUUCUGAAAUGUUGACCUCGGAUCAGGUAGGAAUACCCGCUGAACUUAAGCAUAUCAAUAAAGC